Molecule: ribosomal RNA, 1379 nt
Filed under: Citrobacter freundii
Lineage: Bacteria; Pseudomonadati; Pseudomonadota; Gammaproteobacteria; Enterobacterales; Enterobacteriaceae
Description: bacterial LSU rRNA
Rfam family: Bacterial large subunit ribosomal RNA
Source: RNAcentral
AGGCACUACGGUGCUGAAGUAACAAAUGCCCUGCUUCCAGGAAAAGCCUCUAAGCAUCAGGUAACACGAAAUCGUACCCCAAACCGACACAGGUGGUCAGGUAGAGAAUACCAAGGCGCUUGAGAGAACUCGGGUGAAGGAACUAGGCAAAAUGGUGCCGUAACUUCGGGAGAAGGCACGCUGAUAUGUAGGUGAAGUGAUUUACUCAUGGAGCUGAAAUCAGUCGAAGAUACCAGCUGGCUGCAACUGUUUAUUAAAAACACAGCACUGUGCAAACACGAAAGUGGACGUAUACGGUGUGACGCCUGCCCGGUGCCGGAAGGUUAAUUGAUGGGGUUAUCCGUAAGGAGAAGCUCUUGAUCGAAGCCCCGGUAAACGGCGGCCGUAACUAUAACGGUCCUAAGGUAGCGAAAUUCCUUGUCGGGUAAGUUCCGACCUGCACGAAUGGCGUAAUGAUGGCCAGGCUGUCUCCACCCGAGACUCAGUGAAAUUGAACUCGCUGUGAAGAUGCAGUGUACCCGCGGCAAGACGGAAAGACCCCGUGAACCUUUACUAUAGCUUGACACUGAACACUGGUCCUUGAUGUGUAGGAUAGGUGGGAGGCUUUGAAGUGUGGACGCCAGUCUGCAUGGAGCCAUCCUUGAAAUACCACCCUUUAAUGGCUGGUGUUCUAACGUGGACCCGUAAUCCGGGUUGCGGACAGUGUCUGGUGGGUAGUUUGACUGGGGCGGUCUCCUCCUAAAGAGUAACGGAGGAGCACGAAGGUUAGCUAAUCCUGGUCGGACAUCAGGAGGUUAGUGCAAAGGCAUAAGCUAGCUUGACUGCGAGAGUGACGGCUCGAGCAGGUGCGAAAGCAGGUCUUAGUGAUCCGGUGGUUCUGAAUGGAAGGGCCAUCGCUCAACGGAUAAAAGGUACUCCGGGGAUAACAGGCUGAUACCGCCCAAGAGUUCAUAUCGACGGCGGUGUUUGGCACCUCGAUGUCGGCUCAUCACAUCCUGGGGCUGAAGUAGGUCCCAAGGGUAUGGCUGUUCGCCAUUUAAAGUGGUACGCGAGCUGGGUUUAGAACGUCGUGAGACAGUUCGGUCCCUAUCUGCCGUGGGCGCUGGAGAAUUGAGGGGGGCUGCUCCUAGUACGAGAGGACCGGAGUGGACGCAUCACUGGUGUUCGGGUUGUCAUGCCAAUGGCAUUGCCCGGUAGCUAAAUGCGGAAGAGAUAAGUGCUGAAAGCAUCUAAGCACGAAACUUGCCCCGAGAUGAGUUCUCCCUGAGACUAUAAGUCUCCUGAAGGAACGUUGAAGACGACGACGUUGAUAGGUCGGGUGUGUAAGUGUAGCGAUACAUUGAGCUAACCGAUACUAAUGAACCGUGAGGCUUAACCUU